RNAcentral lists this small RNA (353 nucleotides) under Caenorhabditis elegans. RNAcentral describes it as "Unclassified non-coding RNA C43D7.20". The record is from RNAcentral. Lineage: Eukaryota; Metazoa; Nematoda; Chromadorea; Rhabditida; Rhabditidae.
GCAAAUCUAAUCCGAUUGCACAUCACAUUUCCAUCCAGAAGCACCUGCACAUGCUCACAAUUCGAAGUCACCAGAAUCGUAUUUGCAAUAACUUCCGCAUUCUGAUAAACCGCAAAAGUCGGAGCAACAUGUGGUGCUCCAUCGGCUCCCAGGAGUACUUCAAGACGGUCCACCUGCAUUUGGCACCCGAUUCCGACGGACUGCUGAGCCGCACAGCCCACUGAGAGCUCUUUGGACUCAUCGAUGACGUCACUGGAGAUCAAGAGAUCCGUUUUGGCGGAGAAUACAAGACGUUUAUCGAUGGAUAGAUUUUGCACAUUUCGAAUUGCCACGUUGAGCCGGUUGGCACACAG